CUUUUGUUCGGCAGAGGGGAGGGCUGUUGUCGGGGCCUGCGGUACGCGGCUUCAGGGAGGGGUUCCUUCGCAGCCACUCGCCUUGUUGCUUUUGUGGGUGCCACUCCCCUGGCCGGCCCGAUGCGACACGCCAGUAGCGUGGCACCGAUUCCCCUCUGGUUCUUGGGUGCUGCUCUGAGCAGCGUCACCGUUUAUACCAGAAAGCUGGCGGGUACUAUGGGGAAAAAACAAAACAAGAAGAAAGUGGAAGAGGUGCUAGAAGAGGAGGAAGAGAAAUAUGUGGUGGAAAAGGUUCUCAACCGCCGAGUGGUAAAGGGCAAAGUGGAGUACCUUCUAAAGUGGAAGGGUUUCUCAGAUGCAGACCACACGUGGGAGCCAGAAGAGAACCUGGACUGUCGUGACCUCAUUGCUGAGUUUCUACAGUCACAGAAAACAGCUCAUGAGACAGAGAAAUCAGAGGGAGGCAAGCGCAAAGCUGAUUCUGAUUCUGAAGAUGAGGGAGAGGAAAGUAAACGAAAGAAGAAAGAAGAGUCAGAAAAGCCACGAGGCUUUGCCCGGGGUUUGGAGCCGGAGCGGAUUAUUGGAGCUACAGACUCCAGUGGAGAGCUGAUUUCCUGAUGAAAUGGAAAAACUCUCAUGAGGCUGACCUGGUCCCCGCCAAGGAAGCCAACGUCAAGUGCCCACAGGUUGUCAUAUCCUUCUAUGAGGAAAGGCUGACGUGGCAUUCCUACCCCUCGGAGGAUGAUGACAAAAAAGAUGACAAGAAUUAA
RNA transcript from Chrysochloris asiatica (Cape golden mole), 770 nucleotides. It is a transcript of the gene named chromobox homolog 1 pseudogene, with no coding region annotated. Lineage: Eukaryota; Metazoa; Chordata; Mammalia; Afrosoricida; Chrysochloridae. The transcript has a single exon. The record is from RefSeq and is a predicted model, not a curated record.